This 486-nucleotide ribosomal RNA is filed under the name uncultured bacterium. RNAcentral's name for it is "bacterial SSU rRNA". It matches the Rfam family "Bacterial small subunit ribosomal RNA", at positions 28 to 507 of the family's 1533-position model. The record is from RNAcentral.
GAUGAACGCUAGCUACAGGCUUAACACAUGCAAGUCGAGGGGCAGCACUAGGUAGCAAUACUGAGGUGGCGACCGGCGCACGGGUGCGUAACGCGUAUCCAACCUUCCCGUUACUCUUGGAUAGCCUUCCGAAAGGGAGAUUAAUACAAGAUGGUAUUCAAAUUCCGCAUGUUAUUUGAAUUAAAGAUUUAUCGGUAACGGAUGGGGAUGCGUGACAUUAGAUAGUAGGCGGGGUAACGGCCCACCUAGUCUACGAUGUCUAGGGGUUCUGAGAGGAAGGUCCCCCACACUGGAACUGAGACACGGUCCAGACUCCUACGGGAGGCAGCAGUGAGGAAUAUUGGUCAAUGGUCGGAAGACUGAACCAGCCAAGUAGCGUGAAGGAUGAAGGUUCUAUGGAUUGUAAACUUCUUUUAUACGGGAAUAAAACCUCCCACGUGUGGGAGCUUGUAUGUACCGUAUGAAUAAGCAUCGGCUAACUCCGUG